GUUAAGCGACUAAGCGUACACGGUGGAUGCCCUGGCAGUCAGAGGCGAUGAAGGGCGUGCUAAUCUGCGAUAAGCGCCGGUAAGGUGAUAUGAACCGUUAUAACCGGCGAUACCCGAAUGGGGAAACCCAGUGUGAUUCGUCACACUAUCAUUAACUGAAUCCAUAGGUUAAUGAGGCGAACCGGGGGAACUGAAACAUCUAAGUACCCCGAGGAAAAGAAAUCAACCGAGAUUCCCCCAGUAGCGGCGAGCGAACGGGGAGGAGCCCAGAGCCUGAAUCAGCAUGUGUGUUAGUGGAAGCGUCUGGAAAGGCGCGCGAUACAGGGUGACAGCCCCGUACACAAAAGCGCAUGUGCUGUGAGCUCGAUGAGUAGGGCGGGACACGUGGUAUCCUGUCUGAAUAUGGGGGGACCAUCCUCCAAGGCUAAAUACUCCUGACUGACCGAUAGUGAACCAGUACCGUGAGGGAAAGGCGAAAAGAACCCCGGCGAGGGGAGUGAAAAAGAACCUGAAACCGUGUACGUACAAGCAGUGGGAGCACCCUUCGGGGUGUGACUGCGUACCUUUUGUAUAAUGGGUCAGCGACUUAUAUUCUGUAGCAAGGUUAACCGUAUAG
This 616-nucleotide ribosomal RNA is filed under the name Salmonella enterica subsp. enterica serovar Typhimurium. RNAcentral's name for it is "partial 23S ribosomal RNA". It matches the Rfam family "Bacterial large subunit ribosomal RNA", at positions 1 to 657 of the family's 2925-position model. Lineage: Bacteria; Pseudomonadati; Pseudomonadota; Gammaproteobacteria; Enterobacterales; Enterobacteriaceae. The record is from RNAcentral.